GUGUUGCUGCUCAGUGGUAGAGCGCUCGCCUAGCAUGUGUGAGGCACUGGGUUCGAUUCUUAGCACCACA
This 70-nucleotide transfer RNA is filed under the name Marmota monax (woodchuck). Its description in RNAcentral is "tRNA.Ala". It matches the Rfam family "tRNA". From Rfam's summary of the family: Transfer RNA (tRNA) molecules are approximately 80 nucleotides in length. Lineage: Eukaryota; Metazoa; Chordata; Mammalia; Rodentia; Sciuridae. The record is from RNAcentral.